RNAcentral lists this long non-coding RNA (395 nucleotides) under Bos taurus (domestic cattle). Its description in RNAcentral is "long non-coding RNA NONBTAT011726". Lineage: Eukaryota; Metazoa; Chordata; Mammalia; Artiodactyla; Bovidae. The record is from RNAcentral.
CUAUGUAUUAUAGCUGUUUCCAUAUUCAUUCAAUAUUAUGUUUGUGUUUUGAGUAAUCUUUGCCAUUUUUGCAAUGUUUUCAAGAUUGUUUAAUUUUAGAUUGUUCUACCUAUAGACAGGAGGGAGGAAUUCAAUCUGCAUUAUGAACUCUUAAGAGUUGUCCUUGCAUAUUUGACCUCAAUCACUUGGCAUCAUAUAUAUGCAAUAAAAACAGAAAAUACUCUAAGAUUAUACCAAAGAUCAUGAAGUAAGGAAUAAUCUUUUCUUGAUUCUGAAAGUUAACACUCAAGAAAAGUUUAUCUGAUAAGAAGAGACAAUAUGGGAGAACCAGAGAAAUCAAACUACACUGACUCUUAAAAAAUCUUCAGUGAAGAUGGUCAGCUUUACAGAUUUGA